Molecule: small RNA, 274 nt
Filed under: Propithecus coquereli (Coquerel's sifaka)
Lineage: Eukaryota; Metazoa; Chordata; Mammalia; Primates; Indriidae
Description: 7SK RNA (ENSPCOG00000011491.1)
Rfam family: 7SK RNA (bases 49-274)
About the family: 7SK was discovered as an abundant small nuclear RNA in the mid-70s but a possible function has only recently been suggested. Two independent studies have found that 7SK RNA binds the CDK9/cyclin T complex (known as elongation factor P-TEFb).
Source: RNAcentral
GGCUGAGAGCUUGGGUUUUGGGGUCUCAUUGUCCUGGGUUCAAAUUCUGGCUCUGCCACGUGCGUCCCUCCUGAAGCUGCGCUCUCGGUCGAAGAGGAUGACCUUCCCCGCUACAGGAGGACCAUUCUUUCGUCAAGGGUAUGCGAGUAGCUCUGCUCCCCUGCUAGAACCUCCGAACAAGCUCUCAAAUUCUGGCCCUGGCAGUUUUUUACUCUCAACCAGUGACGACUACACUCUGAGUCUCAGUUUCUGAAAUUGGAAAAUGAGAAGGCAG